UACGAAGGGGGCGAGCGUUGUUCGGAGUUACUGGGCGUAAAGGGCGCGUAGGCGGCGCUCCAAGUCAGGCGUGAAAGCCCCGGGCUCAACCUGGGAGGUGCGCCUGAGACUGGAGGGCUGGAGGCCGGAAGAGGGUGGUGGAAUUCCCAGUGUAGAGGUGAAAUUCGUAGAUAUUGGGAAGAACACCGGUGGCGAAGGCGGCCACCUGGUCCGGACCUGACGCUGAGGCGCGACAGCGUGGGGAGCAAACAGG
Molecule: ribosomal RNA, 253 nt
Filed under: uncultured bacterium
Lineage: Bacteria
Description: partial 16S ribosomal RNA
Rfam family: Bacterial small subunit ribosomal RNA
Source: RNAcentral